This 465-nucleotide ribosomal RNA is filed under the name Vreelandella stevensii. Its description in RNAcentral is "partial 16S ribosomal RNA". It matches the Rfam family "Bacterial small subunit ribosomal RNA", at positions 338 to 795 of the family's 1533-position model. The record is from RNAcentral. Lineage: Bacteria; Pseudomonadati; Pseudomonadota; Gammaproteobacteria; Oceanospirillales; Halomonadaceae.
CCUACGGGAGGCAGCAGUGGGGAAUAUUGGACAAUGGGGGGAACCCUGAUCCAGCCAUGCCGCGUGUGUGAAGAAGGCCCGCGGGUUGUAAAGCACUUUCAGUGAGGAAGAACGCCUGGUGGUUAAUACCCAUCAGGAAAGACAUCACUCACAGAAGAAGCACCGGCUAACUCCGUGCCAGCAGCCGCGGUAAUACGGAGGGUGCGAGCGUUAAUCGGAAUUACUGGGCGUAAAGCGCGCGUAGGUGGCUUGAUAAGCCGGUUGUGAAAGCCCCGGGCUCAACCUGGGAACGGCAUCCGGAACUGUCAAGCUAGAGUGCAGGAGAGGAAGGUAGAAUUCCCGGUGUAGCGGUGAAAUGCGUAGAGAUCGGGAGGAAUACCAGUGGCGAAGGCGGCCUUCUGGACUGACACUGACACUGAGGUGCGAAAGCGUGGGUAGCAAACAGGAUUAGAUACCCCGGUAGUC